CCAAAGCACCAUCAACUGCUACGAAGGGGGAAUGGAGUCGCUGCGGCGUUUGGGUCGCGCCGACGGGAGAUUGCCUUCAACAUGAUCGACUGCGAUUUCAAGUCUUCCAGGGAAAAUGGUCCGUCGGGGAACAGGAAGGAGGGGAUUCAUACCAGACCAUACUGUCUUACCUGGUUGAGCUCGAGCCGAAGCCGUUGGUUCUGGUGAGGCUUCUGGAUGAAGGAUCUGCAGUGAGAUCAAGGACAACCUUGUUUCCAUUCAUUUGAGAACAAGCACAGAGACUACAACAACACCAUGAGGCUUCUGGAAGGAAGGAUCUGCAGUGAGAUGAAGAACAAACAAGCAGAGAGACUACAACAGCACCAGGUAAGCUAAUCUGAUACUGUAUUAGCUUCUUGCUCAGCAGCCGUUAGUGUGCUCUGUUCUUUUUUUUGAAGGAUGUGUGCUCUGUUCUUGGAAGAAUGCAUGUCAUGCUCAACUUGCGUCUGCAUAUAUUUUUAGUGAUCACUAGAGACCCUUUCCGAAGGUUUUUGUGACAAGCCCUUGGUUGAUUUAUUAGUAACUUUGCGCUUCAUAAGAAAGCAUAGCUUAUUCAUUCUCCUUUUUUUUUCCGGUCUGGAUUCUAACAAAACUAGAAUUGCAUCCCAAUUCCAGGAUAACUCUACAUGUGUGAAUUGCGUUGGAUGUUUGCUUUGGCGCAGUUCUUAGGAAUCAGAUGCAUGUACGUGUGCAUUCUUCACGACAUGAGUUCUUAACUUGUUGUGCAGGUGCUAACUGUUAAGUGAAGGUACUUUAUUGCAGGGAAGGAUCGUGAUCUAUCCAAGAAAUUUUGGAGGCGAAAGAAGAACCUAUUUUCUUGUUCUACAUGUAAUUGUAGCACAUAUGUGGAAUAAGCAGUAUUUUCUUUCUUGUCAAUCAGGGCAAGCACUGCAUCCUGGGUAGCAACUAUUUAGUUUAAACAUUGAUCUGUGUUCAGUGCUAAAAGGCAAUCAUGCCACAGAGCUAUUUAGUUCAAAUAGAAGCAUAAUCACUUUGCCUAUUUAGAUAUCUUCGCAUGCUUGACGUGGUUACCAUAUAGUUUGGAUAGUGUUGUAUGGUUAGUUCGGUUCAGCUUUGAUCUUGCAUUUUUCUUUUCCUACGGAUAAGUAUUACAGCAUUGUGCUACAAUGUACUACAAUUAGAGGAUAAGUAUUACAGCAUUGUGCUACAAUGUACUACAACUAGAAUGGGGCUUGUGAUUUGUGAAAUCACAUUGUUCUUGCUUUUGCUAUAUGUUUUCCUUACCACUGUAGAAUGACACUUUUUUUUUUUUUGCUUCUCCGGCUCACAUUGUUUCAAUGCAGUAAAUGGUCUCCGGGGCAACAAAGUGAAAGUGUAUUUGAUGACAAGGUGUUCACAGUGCCUAGGUGGUCUUGCUGCAGUGCUGCUAAAUCACAAAUUCCUUCUCUUUUUGCAAGGUUCAAUGAUUAUCUAGCCAUGAAUCAAAUGGAACGUUGGAUGAAAAUAUGACAUGGUUGGCGGUUGCAAGGUUGUUCGGUUUGUGGGGGCGUGCCGCCUGCGGACCUCCGGCUCGCGGAGGGGAUGUGCCCAGAAUUGCUGUCCGUGCCCGCGCAUACCAUUGCUGCCGCGCUCCGGUUCUUGACAGAGGCGCCGUGCGUCCCGGAGCCCGACCUCCCGCGCCUGCUCGUGUUCCCCGUCGCGGCGUGGCUCCGGCCCACGCUCUUCUUCCUUCCCGUGCUCGCAUCCCCGACCUGCACCGCCGCGGUCUCCCGCUCUCCGGCCCCGCUGCAGCCUCGCGCGCAAUAACUCGGUCAUGCAGACCUGCUUGCUUUACACGCUCGUGGAGAAAAACAGAGAGAGGACAUUAAAGAGUUCGAGAGGGGCGCGAAGGGGAUGAGUUUCUAAAGCUUGAUACGAAGGAAGAGAAGCAGGUGGCAUGUGCUUGUUGAUUUGGGAGUACAGAGUGGAGCCAUUUGGUUCUUCUGGCCUCAAGAUGAAGCCGUCAUCCUCCACACCGGCAUGGUCUGUCAAUUAUCUCUCUCAUCAUGUAUACUUGGACCCUACAUUCUGUUGGUAGUUUUGUUUGUAGGAAUAUGCAGCCUUGUAGCACUAAUUCAGUGGCAAUUUCCCGCUGAAGUUUUGAUGUUCCAUUUGGUAGUUUUGUUUGUAGGAAAUUGCAGCCUUGUAGCACUAAUUCAGCGGCAAUUUCCCGUUGAAGUUUUGAUGUUCCA
Molecule: long non-coding RNA, 2231 nt
Organism: Panicum hallii
Lineage: Eukaryota; Viridiplantae; Streptophyta; Magnoliopsida; Poales; Poaceae
Exons: 4
Source: RefSeq, a predicted model, not a curated record